CCAAUACUGACACUGAGGAGCGAAAGCGUGGGGAGCGAACAGGAUUAGAUAGCCUGGUAGUCCACGCCGUAAACGGUGGGCGCUAGUUGUGCGAACCUUCCACGGUUUGUGCGACGCAGCUAACGCAUUAAGCGCCCCGCCUGGGGAGUACGAUCGCAAGAUUAAAACUCAAAGGAAUUGACGGGGCCCCGCACAAGCAGCGGAGCAUGCGGCUUAAUUCGACGCAACGCGAAGAACCUUACCAAGGCUUGACAUAUACAGGAAUAUGGCAGAGAUGUCAUAGCCGCAAGGUCUGUAUACAGGUGGUGCAUGGUUGUCGUCAGCUCGUGUCGUGAGAUGUUGGGUUAAGUCCCGCAACGAGCGCAACCCUCGUUCUGUGUUGCCAGCAUUUAGUUGGGGACUCACAGGAGACUGCCGGGGUUAACUCGGAGGAAGGUGGGGAUGACGUCAAAUCAUCAUGCCCCUUAUGUCUUGGGCUGCACGCAUGCUACAAUGGCUGGUACAAACGGCUGCGAUACCGCAAGGUGGAGCGAAUCCGAUAAAGCCAGUCUCAGUUCGGAUUGGGGUCUGCAACUCGACCCCAUGAAGUCGGAGUUGCUAGUAAUCGUAGAUCAGCAACGCUACGGUGAAUACGUUCCCGGGGCUUGUACACACCGCCCGUCACAUCACGAAAGUCGUAACACCCAAAGUCAGUGGCCCAACCGCAAGGA
Molecule: ribosomal RNA, 710 nt
Filed under: uncultured Actinomycetes bacterium
Lineage: Bacteria; Bacillati; Actinomycetota; Actinomycetes
Description: bacterial SSU rRNA
Rfam family: Bacterial small subunit ribosomal RNA
Source: RNAcentral